AAGACCUUGCACUUUUGGAGCGGCCGAUGUCUGAUUAGCUAGUUGGUGGGGUAACGGCCUACCAAAGCUUCGAUCAGUAGCUGGUCUGAGAGGACGGCCAGCCACACUGGGACUGAGACACGGCCCAGACUCCUACGGGAGGCAGCAGUGGGAAUUUUGGACAAUGGGCGCAAGCCUGAUCCAGCCAUGCCGCGUGAGUGAAGAAGGCCUUCGGGUUGUAAAGCUCUUUCAGUCGGGAAGAAAAGGUUGCGACUAAUAAUCGCAAUUCAUGACGGUACCGGAAGAAGAAGCACCGGCUAACUACGUGCCAGCAGCCGCGGUAAUACGUAGGGUGCGAGCGUUAAUCGGAAUUACUGGGCGUAAAGGGUGCGCAGGCGGUUUUGUAAGUCAGAUGUGAAAUCCCCGGGCUUAACCUGGGAACU
RNAcentral lists this ribosomal RNA (422 nucleotides) under uncultured bacterium. Its description in RNAcentral is "bacterial SSU rRNA". It matches the Rfam family "Bacterial small subunit ribosomal RNA", at positions 207 to 622 of the family's 1533-position model. The record is from RNAcentral.